Molecule: ribosomal RNA, 468 nt
Filed under: uncultured bacterium
Lineage: Bacteria
Description: partial 16S ribosomal RNA
Rfam family: Bacterial small subunit ribosomal RNA
Source: RNAcentral
GACGAACGCUGGCGGCGUGCUUAACACAUGCAAGUCGAACGGAAAGGCCCUGCUUUUGUGGGGUGCUCGAGUGGCGAACGGGUGAGUAACACGUGAGUAACCUGCCCUUGACUUUGGGAUAACUUCAGGAAACUGGGGCUAAUACCGGAUAGGAGCUCCUGCUGCAUGGUGGGGGUUGGAAAGUUUCGGCGGUUGGGGAUGGACUCGCGGCUUAUCAGCUUGUUGGUGGGGUAGUGGCUUACCAAGGCUUUGACGGGUAGCCGGCCUGAGAGGGUGACCGGCCACAUUGGGACUGAGAUACGGCCCAGACUCCUACGGGAGGCAGCAGUGGGGAUUAUUGCACGAUGGGCGGAAGCCGGAUGCAGCAACGCCGCGUGCGGGAUGACGGCCUUCGGGUUGUAAACCGCUUUCGCCUGUGACGAAGCGUGAGUGACGGUAAUGGGUAAAGAAGCACCGGCUAACUACGUG